This 253-nucleotide ribosomal RNA is filed under the name uncultured bacterium. RNAcentral describes it as "partial 16S ribosomal RNA". It matches the Rfam family "Bacterial small subunit ribosomal RNA", at positions 524 to 776 of the family's 1533-position model. The record is from RNAcentral.
UACGGAGGGCGCAAGCGUUGUUUGGAAUCACUGGGCGUAAAGCGCGUGUAGGCGGCUUGGCAAGUCGGGUGUGAAAUCCCGAGGCUCAACCUCGGAACUGCAUUCGAAACUGCUCGGCUAGAGUCCCGGAGAGGAUGGCAGAAUUCCCGGUGUAGGGGUGAAAUCCGUAGAUAUCGGGAGGAAUACCAGUGGCGAAGGCGGCCAUCUGGACGGUGACUGACGCUGAGACGCGAAAGCGUGGGGAGCAAACAGG